RNAcentral lists this ribosomal RNA (497 nucleotides) under uncultured bacterium. RNAcentral describes it as "partial 16S ribosomal RNA". It matches the Rfam family "Bacterial small subunit ribosomal RNA", at positions 28 to 507 of the family's 1533-position model. The record is from RNAcentral.
GAUGAACGCUGGCGGCGUGCCUAAUACAUGCAAGUCGAGCGAACAGACGAGGAGCUUGCUCCUCUGACGUUAGCGGCGGACGGGUGAGUAACACGUGGAUAACCUACCUAUAAGACUGGGAUAACUUCGGGAAACCGGAGCUAAUACCGGAUAAUAUAUUGAACCGCAUGGUUCAAUAGUGAAAGACGGUUUUGCUGUCACUUAUAGAUGGAUCCGCGCCGCAUUAGCUAGUUGGUAAGGUAACGGCUUACCAAGGCAACGAUGCGUAGCCGACCUGAGAGGGUGAUCGGCCACACUGGAACUGAGACACGGUCCAGACUCCUACGGGAGGCAGCAGUAGGGAAUCUUCCGCAAUGAGCGAAAGCCUGACGGAGCAACGCCGCGUGAGUGAUGAAGGUCUUCGGAUCGUAAAACUCUGUUAUUAGGGGAGAACAAAUGUGUAAGUAACUAUGCACGUCUUGACGGUACCUAAUCAGAAAGCCACGGCUAACUACGUG